RNAcentral lists this long non-coding RNA (256 nucleotides) under Homo sapiens (human). Its description in RNAcentral is "HSALNT0184462". Lineage: Eukaryota; Metazoa; Chordata; Mammalia; Primates; Hominidae. The record is from RNAcentral.
GUCCACACUGCAGGCUUUGCCCACAGAGUCCAUACUGUAGGCUCUGAACCUCCACUGUGGAACCACAUGGGGAGCCACAGGGACCAGUCCCACGGAAAAGCCAGGACAUGCUCCAAAAGAUGGCCCAAGGAGUAGAGACGGAGUUUCAACCAUGUUAGCCAAGAUGUUCUCGAUCUCCUGACCUCGUGAUCCUCCCGCCUCGGCCUCUCAAAGUGCUGGGAUUACAGGUCUUCUUCCUGCAAACUUUCUGCACUCC